This 533-nucleotide ribosomal RNA is filed under the name uncultured bacterium. RNAcentral describes it as "bacterial SSU rRNA". It matches the Rfam family "Bacterial small subunit ribosomal RNA", at positions 355 to 896 of the family's 1533-position model. The record is from RNAcentral.
UGGGGAAUAUUGCACAAUGGGCGAAAGCCUGAUGCAGCGACGCCGCGUGAGGGAUGAAGGCCUUCGGGUUGUAAACCUCUUUCAGCAGGGAAGAAGCGCAAGUGACGGUACCUGCAGAAGAAGCGCCGGCUAACUACGUGCCAGCAGCCGCGGUAAUACGUAGGGCGCAAGCGUUGUCCGGAAUUAUUGGGCGUAAAGAGCUCGUAGGCGGUUUGUCGCGUCUGGUGUGAAAACUCGAGGCUCAACCUCGAGCUUGCAUCGGGUACGGGCAGACUAGAGUGCGGUAGGGGAGACUGGAAUUCCUGGUGUAGCGGUGGAAUGCGCAGAUAUCAGGAGGAACACCGAUGGCGAAGGCAGGUCUCUGGGCCGCAACUGACGCUGAGGAGCGAAAGCAUGGGGAGCGAACAGGAUUAGAUACCCUGGUAGUCCAUGCCGUAAACGUUGGGCACUAGGUGUGGGGCUCAUUCCACGAGUUCCGUGCCCGCAGCAAACGCAUUAAGUGCCCCCGCCUGGGGAGUACGGCCGCAAGGCUA